This 1002-nucleotide long non-coding RNA is filed under the name Oryctolagus cuniculus (rabbit). RNAcentral describes it as "lncRNA (ENSOCUG00000034637.1)". Lineage: Eukaryota; Metazoa; Chordata; Mammalia; Lagomorpha; Leporidae. The record is from RNAcentral.
GCUAAUCCUCCGCCUGUGGCACCGGCACCCUGGGGUUCUAGUCCUGGUUGGGGCGCUGAUUCUGUCCUGGUUGCUCCUCUUCCAGUUCAGCUCUCUGCUGUGGCCCGGGAGGGCAGUGGAGGAUGGCCCAGGUCCUUGGGCCCUGCACCCCAUGGGAAACCAGGAGAAGCACCUGGCUCCUGCCUUUGGAUCAGCGUGGUGAGCCGGGUGCAGCGCACCAGCCACGGCGACCAUUGGAGGGUGAACCAACGGCAAAGGAAGACCUUUCUCUCUGUCUCUCUCUCUCUCUCACUGUCCACUCUGCCUGUCCAAAAAAAAAAAAAAAAAUAUUCUGCUGAGGUCUGUAUUGGGCAUCUUGUGCAUGGGAAGGUUGUAGUCGCUCUUGAGGGACGCGGCUUUACGCCAAGUGCCGUGCAAGUCGUCCAGCUUCCGGAAGGCACUCUCCGUCCAGAUGCAGAAGCGCCCCACGUGCCCACCGGGCGCGAGCUUCAGGAUGUUCAGCUUGGUCACGUUGAGCAGAGUGAUCCCAGGGAUGUUCCGGAAGGCCUUGACGAUGCCGUUGUCCUCGUUGUAGAUGACGCAGGGCCCCCUGCGCUGGGUCCUCCGGCGGUUUCUCAUUUUGCCCUUGCCAGCCCUCAUCCGCUGAGAGGCGUACACCUUCUUGAUGUCAUUCCAGGCCUUGAGUUUCUUAAGCAGCAGAACUGUUUUGGUUGGUGCGAACAUGCGGCCUCCUCGGCACAUAUUCCUAAAGGCACCCUGGCCGGAUCGGUGCGUCCCACCACCUCGCACUCUGGGAAUUCCCGCCACAGCUCUGCCAGUACCCCACGACUCAGCGCUGGUCUGGUGACCUGCCAGCUCACUGACGGCAUAGGGCUGCCUAUUGUUCUUGCGCACGUUGGUGUGCACGAAGUUCACGAUGUCUGGCUGGAUGGGAGCCUUGAACAUGGCGGGCAAAGUCACAUUUUUGCCGGACGACUCCCCCUUCUCGGAGUACACCGAUAG